Molecule: ribosomal RNA, 1006 nt
Filed under: Bacillus licheniformis
Lineage: Bacteria; Bacillati; Bacillota; Bacilli; Caryophanales; Bacillaceae
Description: bacterial SSU rRNA
Rfam family: Bacterial small subunit ribosomal RNA
Source: RNAcentral
CACGGCCCAGACUCCUACGGGAGGCAGCAGUAGGGAAUUCUUCCGCAAUGGACGAAAGUCUGACGGAGCAACGCCGCUGAGUGAUGAAGGUUUUCGGAUCGUAAAACUCUGGUGGUUAGGGAAGAACAAGUACCGUUCGAAUAGGGCGGUACCUUGACGGUACCUAACCAGAAAGCCACGGCUAACUACGUGCCAGCAGCCGCGGUAAUACGUAGGUGGCAAGCGUUGUCCGGAAUUAUUGGGCGUUAAAGCGCGCGCAGGCGGUUUCUUAAGUCUGAUGUGAAAGCCCCCGGCUCAACCGGGGAGGGUCAUUGGAAACUGGGGAACUUGAGUGCAGAAGAGGAGAGUGGAAUUCCACGUGUAGCGGUGAAAUGCGUAGAGAUGUGGAGGAACACCAGUGGCGAAGGCGACUCUCUGGUCUGUAACUGACGCUGAGGCGCGAAAGCGUUGGGGAGCGAACAGGAUUAGAUACCCUGGUAGUCCACGCCGUAAACGAUGAGUGCUAAGUGUUAGAGGGUUUCCGCCCUUUAGUGCUGCAGCAAACGCAUUAAGCACUCCGCCUGGGGAGUACGGUCGCAAGACUGAAACUCAAAGGAAUUGACGGGGGCCCGCACAAGCGGUGGAGCAUGUGGUUUAAUUCGAAGCAACGCGAAGAACCUUACCAGGUCUUGACAUCCUCUGACAACCCUAGAGAUAGGGCUUCCCCUUCGGGGGCAGAGUGACAGGUGGUGCAUGGUUGUCGUCAGCUCGUGUCGUGAGAUGUUGGGUUAAGUCCCGCAACGAGCGCAACCCUUGAUCUUAGUUGCCAGCAUUCAGUUGGGCACUCUAAGGUGACUGCCGGUGACAAACCGGAGGAAGGUGGGGAUGACGUCAAAUCAUCAUGCCCCUUAUGACCUGGGCUACACACGUGCUACAAUGGGCAGAACAAAGGGCAGCGAAGCCGCGAGGCUAAGCCCAUCCCACAAAUCUGUUCUCAGUUCGGAUCGCAGUCUGCAACUCGACUGCG